Molecule: unclassified non-coding RNA, 394 nt
Filed under: soil metagenome
Description: partial contains 5.8S ribosomal RNA, internal transcribed spacer 2, and large subunit ribosomal RNA
Rfam family: 5.8S ribosomal RNA (bases 1-122)
Source: RNAcentral
GAUGAAGAACGCAGCGAAAUGCGAUACUUGGUGUGAAUUGCAGAAUCCCGUGAACCAUCGAGUCUUUGAACGCAAGUUGCGCCCGAAGCCACUAGGCCGAGGGCACGCCUGCCUGGGCGUCACACGUCGUUGCCCCCCCCCCCAUCUACUCCUUCGGGAUUGCGGGGGGCGGAUGAUGGCCUCCCGUGCGCCUAGCCGCGCGGUGGGCAUAAAUACCAAGUCCUCGGCGACGCACGCCACGACAAUCGGUGGUUGCGAAACCUCGGUUGCCCGUCGUGUGCGUUCGUCGCGCAUCGAGGGCUCGAAAAAAUGCUCGGCUCCGGCUCGGCUUUCAACGCGACCCCAGGUCAGGCGGGGUUACCCGCUGAAUUUAAGCAUAUCAAUAAGCGGAGGA